This 213-nucleotide ribosomal RNA is filed under the name uncultured bacterium. RNAcentral describes it as "partial 16S ribosomal RNA". It matches the Rfam family "Bacterial small subunit ribosomal RNA", at positions 1288 to 1500 of the family's 1533-position model. The record is from RNAcentral.
UCAGUUCGGAUUGUAGUCUGNAACCCGACUACAUGAAGCUGGAAUCGCUAGUAAUCGCAGAUCAGAAUGCUGCGGUGAAUACGUUCCCGGGUCUUGUACACACCGCCCGUCACACCAUGGGAGUUGGAAAUGCCCGAAGCCAGUGACCCAACCGUAAGGAGGGAGCUGUCGAAGGUGGAGCCGAUGACUGGGGUGAAGUCGUAACAAGGUAUC